Molecule: ribosomal RNA, 616 nt
Filed under: Penicillium brevicompactum
Lineage: Eukaryota; Fungi; Ascomycota; Eurotiomycetes; Eurotiales; Aspergillaceae
Description: eukaryotic LSU rRNA
Rfam family: Eukaryotic large subunit ribosomal RNA
Source: RNAcentral
GCAUAUCAAUAAGCGGAGGAAAAGAAACCAACAGGGAUUACCUCAGUAACGGCGAGUGAAGCGGUAAGAGCUCAAAUUUGAAAGCUGGCUCCUUCGGGGUCCGCAUUGUAAUUUGCAGAGGAUGCUUCGGGAGCGGUCCCCAUCUAAGUGCCCUGGAACGGGACGUCAUAGAGGGUGAGAAUCCCGUAUGGGAUGGGGUGUCCGCGCCCGUGUGAAGCUCCUUCGACGAGUCGAGUUGUUUGGGAAUGCAGCUCUAAAUGGGUGGUAAAUUUCAUCUAAAGCUAAAUAUUGGCCGGAGACCGAUAGCGCACAAGUAGAGUGAUCGAAAGAUGAAAAGCACUUUGAAAAGAGAGUUAAAAAGCACGUGAAAUUGUUGAAAGGGAAGCGCUUGCGACCAGACUCGCUCGCGGGGUUCAGCCGGCAUUCGUGCCGGUGUACUUCCCCGCGAGCGGGCCAACGUCGGUUUGGGCGGUCAGUCAAAGGCCCCUGGAAGGUAACGCCCCCUCGGGGGCGUCUUAUAGCCAGGGGUGCAAUGUGGCCUGCCUGGACCGAGGAACGCGCUUCGGCUCGGACGUUGGCAUAAUGGUCGUAAGCGACCCGUCUUGAAACACGGACC